UCGUAACAAGGUUUCCGUAGGUGAACCUGCGGAAGGAUCAUUACCGAGCGAGGAUUCUCUCGAAUCCAACCUCCCACCCGUGUUUAUUGUACCUUGUUGCUUCGGCGGGCCCGCCUCACGGCCGCCGGGGGGCAUCUGCCCCCGGGCCCGCGCCCGCCGAAGACACCUUGAACUCUGUAUGAAAAUUGCAGUCUGAGUCUAAAUAUAAAUUAUUUAAAACUUUCAACAACGGAUCUCUUGGUUCCGGCAUCGAUGAAGAACGCAGCGAAAUGCGAUACGUAAUGUGAAUUGCAGAAUUCAGUGAAUCAUCGAGUCUUUGAACGCACAUUGCGCCCCCUGGUAUUCCGGGGGGCAUGCCUGUCCGAGCGUCAUUGCUGCCCUCAAGCCCGGCUUGUGUGUUGGGUCUCGUCCCCCUCCCCGGGGGGACGGGCCCGAAAGGCAGCGGCGGCACCGCGUCCGGUCCUCGAGCGUAUGGGGCUUUGUCACCCGCUCUGUAGGGCCGGCCGGCGUCUGCCGAUCAACCACAAUUUUUUUCCAGGUUGACCUCGGAUCAGGUAGGGAUACCCGCUGAACUUAAGCAUAUCAAUAA
Molecule: unclassified non-coding RNA, 589 nt
Filed under: Penicillium coralligerum
Lineage: Eukaryota; Fungi; Ascomycota; Eurotiomycetes; Eurotiales; Aspergillaceae
Description: sequence contains 18S rRNA gene, ITS1, 5.8S rRNA gene, ITS2, 28S rRNA gene
Rfam family: 5.8S ribosomal RNA (bases 218-371)
Source: RNAcentral